UACGUAGGGUGCGAGCGUUAAUCGGAAUUACUGGGCGUAAAGCGUGCGCAGGCGGUUAUUUAAGUCAGGUGUGAAAGCCCUGGGCUUAACCUAGGAAUUGCGCUUGAGACUGGAUAGCUUGGAGUGCGGCAGAGGGAGGUGGAAUUCCACGUGUAGCAGUGAAAUGCGUAGAGAUGUGGAGGAACACCGAUGGCGAAGGCAGCCUCCUGGGCCAGCACUGACGCUCAGGCGCGACAGCGUGGGGAGCAAACAGG
Molecule: ribosomal RNA, 254 nt
Filed under: uncultured bacterium
Lineage: Bacteria
Description: partial 16S ribosomal RNA
Rfam family: Bacterial small subunit ribosomal RNA
Source: RNAcentral